This 515-nucleotide long non-coding RNA is filed under the name Gallus gallus (chicken). RNAcentral's name for it is "long non-coding RNA NONGGAT006517". Lineage: Eukaryota; Metazoa; Chordata; Aves; Galliformes; Phasianidae. The record is from RNAcentral.
CCAAAAUCAUUGGGAGCUAAACUUAGAUUUUAGUGCAGCAAAUCUGUAUCUUCAGCUGGCACAAGUUGGUGCAGUGCUGUUUGGAUUCAGCUUGGGCUAUGUGACUUUUGAAGAUUUCACCUGAAUAUGUACACUUAACGUAUAUCUUCUCAAAUCAGACUUGAGAGCUGCAACAGUUCCAUAAACAACCUUUAUUCCUUCCCGUUUUUGGAGGACAUCUGGUUCACAUCCUCCACUCAAAGCAAGAACAAACUACAUGAGAAAAAAGGUUGCUUGGGGUCAAACUUAGCCAAGUUCUGAAUGUAUUAAAGGACGGAGAUUGAACAGUCAGACGACACUUCAAUUUUUGACUGCCACGACAAUCAAGUUUUCCUGAUGUUCCUUCGGAAUUUUCUGUGCUGUAACUUGAGUCCGUUGCCUUCUGUCUUUUGUGUUUAACCUCAGAGAAGAGUCUGGCUCCACCUCUGCAACCUUCCAUCAGCGAUAAACAUCCAACUGAUGUCAAUGGAGAUAGG